RNAcentral lists this ribosomal RNA (806 nucleotides) under uncultured archaeon. RNAcentral describes it as "bacterial SSU rRNA". It matches the Rfam family "Archaeal small subunit ribosomal RNA", at positions 23 to 819 of the family's 1478-position model. The record is from RNAcentral.
GCUACUGCCAUCAGAGUUCGAUUAAGCCAUGUUAGUCGAGGGUGCUUCUUCUUCGGAAGAGGUAACCCGGCGGACGGCUCAGUAACACGUGGAUAACUUGCCCUUGGGUCCGGGAUAACCCCUGAGAAAUUGGGGACAAUACCGGAUAGGGCAUCGAUAGCUGGAAUGCGCGAUGUCCAAAAGCUGAGGCGCCCAAGGAUAGGUCUGCGGCCGAUUAGGUUGUUGUUGAUGUAAUGGAUCAACAAGCCUGCAAUCGGUACGGGUUGUGAGAGCAAGAGCCCGGAGAUGGGUUCUGAGAAAAGAACCCAGGUCCUACGGGACGCAUCAGGCGCGAAAACUUUACAAUGUGCGAAAGCACGAUAAGGGAACUCUGAGUGCCUCCUAUGGAGGCUGUUCAGGUGUCUAAAAAGCACUUGAAGUAAGGGCUGGGUAAGACCGGUGCCAGCCGCCGCGGUAACACCGGCAGCCCAAGUGGUAGCCACGAUUAUUGGGUCUAAAGCGUCCGUAGCCGGCCAGGUAAGUUCUUUGGGAAAUUUAACCGCUUAACGGUUAAGCUUUCAGGGAAUACUGCUUGGCUUGGGACCGGGAGAGGUCAGAGGUACUUCAAGGGUAGGGGUGGAAUCCGUUAAUCCUUGAGGGACCACCAGUAGCGAAGGCGUCUGACCAGACCGGGUCCGACGGUGAGGGACGAAGGCUAGGGUCGCGAACCGGAUUAGAUACCCGGGUAGUCCUAGCUGUAAACGAUGCGGGGCCAGGUGUUGGCAUUACUGCCGAGUGAUGUCAGUGCCGAAGGGAAAGCCGUUUAA